CCGUCUCUCUUUCCCCUCUUAUUCUUUAUUUUCUUUAUUUUCUGUGUGCACUCCACUUCCUUCCCACUUAUCUUCUUUUCUGCUGCCUUUGUUUAAAUUUUCCCAAUUUUUUUGGCGGUCCAAUUGUAAAUAAUAGGCGCUUGUUUUUUUAAUUUUCCCAAUUUUUUUUAUAGGACAAAACGUCGAUUCUUUUGCUAUAUUCCACUCUGUGAACCUUAAAAGCAUAUUUCAUAUUUCAUAUUUCCGAAACUUGUAUAUAUAAUUUGUAUAUUUAAGAAAGAGCGCCCACAUUUGCCUAGACUGCAGACUGCCCCGAAACGUGGAAUUUUUUUUUUAUUAUGAUCGGAACACAGGUGGUAUACAACAUAGUUUUAUAUAAGUAAUGAGAAAUUUUAUUGUUUCAAUUCUUAACUUUUUAUAGUGACAAGUGGUGUAUAAUCCAAAGUUUCGGUCACAUUGAAUAAUAAUUAUGCAUAAUUAAAGAAAAGGAAUUGUUUAGAGUUUUUCUAGUUAUAUGAGCUCUAGUAGAGUAGGAUGAGACCUGGUUUGGAUAUGGAAUGAAUAAGUAAUUAUUUAAGAUAUUCUUCUUUCAACUUAUAAUAAUUAUGUAUAAUUAAAGAAAAAGAAAGAAAACAAGAAAUGAUCUUAAAAGUUCCAGAAUUAAACAACCGAACCUUAGG
RNAcentral lists this long non-coding RNA (680 nucleotides) under Malus domestica (apple). RNAcentral describes it as "long non-coding RNA (MDOM_LNC017729)". Lineage: Eukaryota; Viridiplantae; Streptophyta; Magnoliopsida; Rosales; Rosaceae. The record is from RNAcentral.